GCAUGGCUGUCGUCAGCUCGUGUCGUGAGAUGUUGGGUUAAGUCCCGCAACGAGCGCAACCCUCGUCCUCUGUUGCCAUCAGGUCAAGCUGGGCACUCUGAGGAGACUGCCGGUGAUAAACCGGAGGAAGGUGGGGAUGACGUCAAGUCAGCAUGGCCUUUAUGUCCAGGGCCACACACGUGCUACAAUGGCGGAUAAAGGGCUGCAAUCCCGCGAGGGGGAGCCAAUCGCAUAAACCGAAUCUCAGUUCGGAUUGUAGGCUGCAACUCGCCUACAUGAAGUCGGAAUCGC
Molecule: ribosomal RNA, 291 nt
Filed under: uncultured bacterium
Lineage: Bacteria
Description: partial 16S ribosomal RNA
Rfam family: Bacterial small subunit ribosomal RNA
Source: RNAcentral